RNAcentral lists this unclassified non-coding RNA (59 nucleotides) under Escherichia coli. RNAcentral's name for it is "crRNA from Escherichia coli (PDB 6W5C, chain B)". The record is from RNAcentral. Lineage: Bacteria; Pseudomonadati; Pseudomonadota; Gammaproteobacteria; Enterobacterales; Enterobacteriaceae.
ACGCAAACAAUUUUUGUGCCCAUCGUUGGCACGCGUGCUGGAUUGCUUCGAUGGUCUGC